RNAcentral lists this ribosomal RNA (239 nucleotides) under uncultured bacterium. RNAcentral's name for it is "partial 16S ribosomal RNA". It matches the Rfam family "Bacterial small subunit ribosomal RNA", at positions 30 to 267 of the family's 1533-position model. The record is from RNAcentral.
AUUGAACGCUGGCGGCAUGCUUUACACAUGCAAGUCGAACGGCAGCACGGGUGCUUGCACCUGGUGGCGAGUGGCGGACGGGUGAGUAAUGCAUCGGAACGUGUCCUGAAGUGGGGGAUAACGCAUCGAAAGAUGUGCUAAUACCGCAUAUUCUCUGAGGAGAAAAGUAGGGGAUCGAAAGACCUUAUGCUUUUGGAGCGGCCGAUGUCUGAUUAGCUAGUUGGUAAGGUAAUGGCUUA